RNAcentral lists this ribosomal RNA (344 nucleotides) under uncultured microorganism. RNAcentral describes it as "bacterial SSU rRNA". It matches the Rfam family "Bacterial small subunit ribosomal RNA", at positions 9 to 352 of the family's 1533-position model. The record is from RNAcentral.
GAGUUUGAUCUUGGCUCAGAUUGAACGCUGACGGCAUGCCUAACACAUGCAAGUCGAACGGCAGCACUGGGAGCUUGCUCCCUGGUGGCGAGUGGCGGACGGGUGAGUAACGCGUAGGAAUCUGCCUCAUAGCGGGGGACAACUCGGGGAAACUCGAGCUAAUACCGCAUACUACUCGAGAGAGGAAAGCAGGGGACCUUCGGGCCUUGCACUAUGAGAUGAGCCUGCGUUGGAUUAGCUAGUUGGUAGGUAAAGGCCUACCAAGGCGACGAUCCAUAACUGGUUGAGAGGAUGACCAGUCACACUGGGACUGAGACACGGCCCAGACUCCUACGGGAGGCAGC